UUGCUCCCUGAUGUUAGCGGCGGACGGGUGAGUAACACGUGGGUAACCUGCCUGUAAGACUGGGAUAACUCCGGGAAACCGGGGCUAAUACCGGAUGGUUGUCUGAACCGCAUGGUUCAGACAUAAAAGGUGGCUUCGGCUACCACUUACAGAUGGACCCGCGGCGCAUUAGCUAGUUGGUGAGGUAACGGCUCACCAAGGCGACGAUGCGUAGCCGACCUGAGAGGGUGAUCGGCCACACUGGGACUGAGACACGGCCCAGACUCCUACGGGAGGCAGCAGUAGGGAAUCUUCCGCAAUGGACGAAAGUCUGACGGAGCAACGCCGCGUGAGUGAUGAAGGUUUUCGGAUCGUAAAGCUCUGUUGUUAGGGAAGAACAAGUGCCGUUCAAAUAGGGCGGCACCUUGACGGUACCUAACCAGAAAGCCACGGCUAACUACGUGCCAGCAGCCGCGGUAAUACGUAGGUGGCAAGCGUUGUCCGGAAUUAUUGGGCGUAAAGGGCUCGCAGGCGGUUUCUUAAGUCUGAUGUGAAAGCCCCCGGCUCAACCGGGGAGGGUCAUUGGAAACUGGGGAACUUGAGUGCAGAAGAGGAGAGUGGAAUUCCACGUGUAGCGGUGAAAUGCGUAGAGAUGUGGAGGAACACCAGUGGCGAAGGCGACUCUCUGGUCUGUAACUGACGCUGAGGAGCGAAAGCGUGGGGAGCGAACAGGAUUAGAUACCCUGGUAGUCCACGCCGUAAACGAUGAGUGCUAAGUGUUAGGGGGUUUCCGCCCCUUAGUGCUGCAGCUAACGCAUUAAGCACUCCGCCUGGGGAGUACGGUCGCAAGACUGAAACUCAAAGGAAUUGACGGGGGCCCGCACAAGCGGUGGAGCAUGUGGUUUAAUUCGAAGCAACGCGAAGAACCUUACCAGGUCUUGACAUCCUCUGACAAUCCUAGAGAUAGGACGUCCCCUUCGGGGGCAGAGUGACAGGUGGUGCAUGGUUGUCGUCAGCUCGUGUCGUGAGAUGUUGGGUUAAGUCCCGCAACGAGCGCAACCCUUGAUCUUAGUUGCCAGCAUUCAGUUGGGCACUCUAAGGUGACUGCCGGUGACAAACCGGAGGAAGGUGGGGAUGACGUCAAAUCAUCAUG
Molecule: ribosomal RNA, 1132 nt
Filed under: Bacillus siamensis
Lineage: Bacteria; Bacillati; Bacillota; Bacilli; Caryophanales; Bacillaceae
Description: bacterial SSU rRNA
Rfam family: Bacterial small subunit ribosomal RNA
Source: RNAcentral